CCUACGGGUGGCAGCAGUGGGGAAUAUUGCACAAUGGGGGAAACCCUGAUGCAGCAACGCCGCGUGAGUGAAGAAGUAUUUCGGUAUGUAAAGCUCUAUCAGCAGGGAAGAAAUUGACAGUACCUGACUAAGAAGCCCCGGCUAACUACGUGCCAGCAGCCGCGGUAAUACGUAGGGGGCAAGCGUUAUCCGGAUUUACUGGGUGUAAAGGGAGCGUAGACGGUUAUGCAAGUCAGAAGUGAAAGCCCAAAGCUCAACUUCGGGACUGCUUUUGAAACUGUGUAACUAGAGUGCAGGAGGGGUAAGCGGAAUUCCUAGUGUAGCGGUGAAAUGCGUAGAUAUUAGGAGGAACACCGGCGGCGAAGGCGGCUUACUGGACUGUAACUGACGUUGAGGCUCGAAAGCGUGGGGAGCAAACAGGAUUAGAUACCCUGGUAGUC
RNAcentral lists this ribosomal RNA (440 nucleotides) under uncultured bacterium. Its description in RNAcentral is "partial 16S ribosomal RNA". It matches the Rfam family "Bacterial small subunit ribosomal RNA", at positions 338 to 795 of the family's 1533-position model. The record is from RNAcentral.